Long non-coding RNA from Prunus avium (sweet cherry), 404 nucleotides. RefSeq lists it as uncharacterized. The record is from RefSeq and is a predicted model, not a curated record. NCBI's taxonomy places the organism in Eukaryota, Viridiplantae, Streptophyta, Magnoliopsida, Rosales, Rosaceae.
UCUCUCUCUCUCUCUCUCUCUCUCUCUCUCUGGCUACAUGCUCCAAGAAGAAGUAUGAUUGCUUUAAUCUAGGUUGGUUUGUCUACUUUCUCCCUCUUCGUUCCAGUAACCCUCUCACUCAUGGUUUGUAUCAAUUCCUAAAUGCCAAUUUGUUUUUUCUUUAAAUGUUUCUUGAUUAAUUUUUCUGUAUUUGUUCUGAAAAAAUGGGUAUAAUGUUGUUGGUUCAUUGUAUCUAGUUCACGAUUUUGAUAAAUUUUCAACCAUCUUAAGUAAGGUAAUUGUACAGAUUGAUGGUAGAAAAAGUAGCAGAUCUUGAUAGUCCUUGAAAGUUUGUGAAUCUCCUUUGUUUGAUUGUGUUGUGAAUUUUUUUUUUCCGGAUAAGAUGUGCUAUGAUUCUUUAGUGG